AUUAUAGCUGGUUUACAGUGUUCUGUCCAUUGUCUACUGGGCAACACGGUGACCCAGUUACACGUACAUGUAUAGAUUCUUUUUUCCCACAAUAUCAUGCUCCAUCAUAAGUGACUAGAUAUAGUUCCCAGUGCUACACAGCAGGAUCUCAUUACCUCACGCCAGUCAGAGCGGCCAUCAUUACGAAGUCCACAAAUAACAAACGCUGGAGAGGGUGUGGAGAAAAGGGAACCCUCCUGAACUGUUCGUGGGAAUGUAAGCUGGUACAACCACUAUGGAGAACAGUAUGGAGGUACCUUAGAAAACUAUACAUAGAACUAUCAUAUGCCCCAGCAAUCCUACUCUUGGGCAUAUAUUCGGACAAAACUUUCCUUAAAAAAGACACAUGCACCUGCAUGUUCAUUGCAGCACAAUAGCCAAGACAUGGAAACAACCCAAAUGGCCAUUGACAGAUGGUUGGAUUAGAAAGAUGUGGUAUAUAUACACAAUGGAAUACUACUUAGCCAUAAAAAGAACAAAAUUAUGCCAUUUGCAGGAACAUGGCUGGAACUUGAGACUCCCCAGGGCAGCAUGGAAGGAAGACUCACUAUGUACCUAAAGGGAAGACACAACAUCCUUUGCAUCCCUGCUCUACAGAGUGGUUCCAGGACUUUUCAGGUCAGCAGUGGCUUUUCAAAGCUCCAGCAGGGAGGAGGCAUUGGUAUGAGAUCUGGGGAGCUGCCAGGUGAAGGUGAAAAAGCUCAGGACGGGGCGUGGUCUCAUCCCAGCUUGGCCAUAGACUGGCCAACUAUCAGUACUUGCCAGGAGGAUUUCAGUGUCCUCAGAUACAUGAACUGGCUGCCCUCAGAUGGUCUCUCAGGCUCUUUGCACUGUUAAAAAUCCAUCCUCCCCGUUACUAAGAUGCCAGACCCAUCCAGGAAAGGAGUGGUGGAAUAAAAAGCUGGGAAUGGGGAAACCUGUGUCACAAAAGUCUUUGCCUUUUUUCCCAUGUGAUGUGCUCUUUAAGCUCUAGACCACGCCUGAGAAGAAUUAGAGUUAGGCAGCUCAAGGUCAGGCAAGAUGUGGAUUUGGAUGGUGGAUCAGUGGGACAUUACCUGGCACAGCACUUUCUGUCGUGAUGAGAGAACCGGGAGACUCAGAGCACACAGGUGACUCAGAGAGCAGGUGGAUCAGGAAGGGAGGCUUCUGCAGGAUAGGUUCACAUGAGGAGCAUGGAGCCUGGCACAUGGAGCGGGGCUCUUGGUCUCCAAAUAUUCUAGGAAACUGCUUUCCUCAAGUUCAAAUAGGUAAAGUUUAGUUGUGUAGGUGGAAGGCAGGGGUUGCCAUUUAUUCAUGCCCCACAUCCUGCCCUUGUGUUCACACUGCUGAUGAGAGAGAGAUCUCCUCCACACUUGGACUUGUGCUGACCCAGGGAACUCGGAGAAGAACAAACAGACUCAGCCAGGAGACCCAGGAUGAGGUUCUUCCAUAAGCCCCAUGGGAGCAGGGAAGAUCCGGGGAGGGAAGCCUGAGCCUCAUGGUGUACGAGGGCAUUUUAGUGUCAACCCUGGACGACAGAUGCCCUUCUGCCCUUCUAGACCCAGGUGCAUGUCCCUCACAGCAAGGGCCAGAGAAGCACACGGGGAGGUGAGAAAGCAGCCUGGGAAGUGGUGGUGGUGGUGUCUCAGAGGUCAGCAAAGAGGAAGGAAAAGAAUCUUGAUGGUAAGGGAGCUGGAGGAGGAAACUUUGCUUUCAGAUCAGGCAUCUGCCACGAACUGGCCUAGCCAUUAGGUGUGUUCUGUCCCUCCCCUAACUUCAGGCUCCUUUUCUAUGAAUCUGAUGCAAAAUGUCCUGAGUCUCUUCUGGGCUGACACCCAGAGUGCUCUCAGCACAAACACACACACACACACACACACACACACACACACACACACUUCCUGCACAUGCAACACCCACACAUCUAUACUCUUGCACACACACACACCCAUACACACCCACACUCACAAUUCACAGACUGGCUUACAGACACACACUUCCUGCACAUGCAACUGCCCCCCUCAACACACAUUCAGACAGGCUCAAAGACACUUCCAUGCACAUGCAACACUGACACACUUAUGUUCAUGCGCACACACACACACACACACACACACACACUGCUUUACAUGUUCUUUCACCACACACACUCUCAUGCACACAAACUUGUAUGUGCAUAUUGAUUUGGGUAUAGGUUACAUACUGAAGUCCAAAUCUUCAGAAAGCUGUAACAAACCAAUCAGAAAACUAAAAUAAAAAUCAUCUGCAGUGUUUUAUGCACUUGCGAUCCUCUCGUUGCCUCUGGUUUAGCCCCAUUCUCCACAGCAGAGGGCCAGACACUUUGGUUUUUACCUAGGCUUUUUUGCCUUGUUGCUGUUUCAGGGCAACAAGGCAUUAAGAAAAAAGAACAAAAGCAAAGAUAUUUAUAAGAGAGAAGAAAGCCCUUCCACUCCCAGCCAUGGGGGGUGGGGAAGAAGGAUUUUUGGAGUGUUCUUUGAGAAUAUUUGUAUAAAGUACUGCAUGUUCUUGUUUACUUUCUGUGGAGCCCCAUUUCCUCCCCAGAAUUCCUGGUCGUCAGACUCACCAGUUACAGGGCUCUUCGGAUGAAAAUCUGAGACACAGAAAACACACACAUGUGGCAGGGCUGGGGCAUCCUCGUCUCUCAGUAUCCUCUGAGAUCUGGGGCAUUUCUGGAUCAAGCAUCUACCUUGCUUCUCCCCUCCCUCUGACCUGACCCCAGAGCUGCAGAGAAAAGCUGAGGGACAUCUCUGGGGGUCCCACCCGGAGACACCAGUGGAUCCUGUGGGUAGCAGUUCAUGGAAGCCAUGCAGAAAUGGAGGCUCCCUGCCCCUGGACACCAGGGAGGGGACUGGCUACCCAGGGUGCCUUGCUGGAACUGUCCCCUCUGAGGCAAUCCUAAUGUCCUCAGGAUAAAGACAUGUCCUGAGGUCUCAUGUUCAGUUACAAAAUGCUUUACCAUUUCUUACUCUGUGUCACUGGCACAUUUCUGUAACUGGACAGACCCCCGUUUUAUAGAUCAGAGAGGCUAACUUGCCUAAAAUGACACAGUGAGAAGGAAGAGAGCUUAAACAUGGGUUUGCAUUUUCUAAGCCUAAACUACCCCUAUUUCCAUUGACUUAUGGAUAAUAAAGAAUAAUUAUGAGGAAUAAUAAUAAGAAGCUAACAUUUUACCAGUCUACCAAAUACAUGGUACCAUUUUAGGUACGUUCUAGAGAUCAACUCAUUUAAUCCUCACAACCUAAUGAGGUGGGCACUUUCAGAAUCCCCAGGAAGCAAAUGAAGAAAUCAAACCCCAAAGGGUCAGGAAACGUGCCUGAAGCCACCUGUUAAUGAAUGAAGAAGUGGAUGCCACGGUCUAGAAACCACUGCAGUCCAGAGAAAGCGUGGGGGUCACCACCACUCCCUCUGGGGUUUCAAAUGUGCUCCACCCCUUCCAGCUGGGUUUCAAGGUCCAACCUCACAUGCACUUCCUUCUAUCCUGUGUGUACACAGGCUUCACCCACCAAUGACAGCUGACUUUCUCCCCAAGGAUCUGAUCAUUGAUCCAAUUAUGGGUUUGUUGCAAAUGGAAAUUAAUGUCAUUUGUCCUCCCCUUUAUUUUUGCUUUUUCCACUGAAGUGGCUAUUAUGGUUACAUACACCAUACAAGAAUUGUGGUAACGUUGUUUCUAAAUUAAUUGCUACCUAAGAGUUUUCGAUUUUCACUUUUUGUGGUAAUGGUGGCUACCAACAGGGAACCUGCAAUUACGGUAAAUGGUUCUUGUCACUGAGGCAUGGGGAGGAGGUGAAGAAGGGAUGGGGCAGGGAGUGCGGGGAGGGCAGGAGCCUGAGAGCAAGGGUCACUUAAAAAAUAUAUCCAGACAAGGAUCCAAUUUCUACAGUAACUGGAAAAAAAACCUUGAGGGUGAAAUUAAAGCAAAUUCAUGAACGUGUUUUUUUUUAAAUUGAGGUUUGUUUUUCCACUGGGCUUUGGGUUGGAUGGAAGGAGUGGUUGGGGGACCCUCUCACCAGCCACUGUGAACUUAAUAACCUGUCAUCACUCUUAUAGACGUGUCAGCCUCUGAGUGGGAGGGUGACUCCAUCCAGAAACCCUGAACAUGGGAGACCCUGUUGUUUAAAAUCUUUCCUUUUGUAGGCAUGCAUAAGUCAUUUCUGACAUUACAUUGAACAGGUCUAAUUUAGUGUUUUUGACAAAAGGAGUCUCCAGCCCCAUUGUGGUGAGAAGGGAGUGAAACAGAGUCACGUUAAAUAAGAUGCCUAGGAAUGGUGUCAGUGUAACAGCAAGAGUGACUAAUAGAUGGUAGUACCCAGGUCCUCUGAAGCCACAGCAGCAUCUUCACUGCUUGACGGAAGAGCUGUGAUUUGGGGAGUGCAAGAACCAUGCUCUCUUCAGGCUGUGAACAUGAGUGUUUGCUUCCAAAGCAGCUUCCAUCAAAGACGGUUGCAACUCACUAUGUCACACAAUUGCCUGUUCCAGAGAAAGAGUUUCUUUCCAUUUCAGAUCAGAGUGAGUUUGGAGGCCUCCUAAAUGCAGCUGCUAAGUCUGGGCAAGCUAGAGAAUCUGUGGAUGGCUCCCCUUCCCCUAAGCCUUCUCUCUCCAGAAUCUGGACAUCCAGGAAGAAUACUGCUCAGCCUUUCUGGGAUGUUGAAUUUCCCUCCCCAGCCUAUACUCUGGAUGCAGCUCUCUGCAGCCUCCCUGGAUCCAGAAUGUCCAGAAGGCAAGCUGUACAGCUGCUUGGAUCUAGGACUCCAUCCGGAUCUGGCUGCUGUGUCUGAGCAAGAGAGAUGGUUCUAAGCUCACAGCAGGGCUCUGGGUGGCUUAUUGCUUUGGUCCUGAGAUGCUUUUAGAGCAAUGCAACUUUCUACAGGGACCCUUAGGUCCCAGGAAGGAUGGAGCAAUCAGAAGCGAGGCUGGGAAGCUUUAGAAAUUGAAGUCUCGAGUUCCUGUUGUGGUGCAGCAGAAAUGAAUCCAACUAGGAACUAUGAGGUUGUGAGCUCCAUCCGUGGCCUCGCUCAGUGGGUCAAGGAUUCCACGUUGCCAUGAGUUGUGGUGUGGGUCGCAGACAUGGCUCAGAUCUGGUGUUGCUGUGGCUCUGGCAUAGGCUGACGACUACAGCUCUGAUUAGACCCCUAGCCUGGGAAACUUCAUAUGCCGUGGGUGUGGCCCUAAAAAAAAAAAAAAAGAAAGAAAUUGAAGUCUUAGUUAAAAUGCCCCUUUGGCAUGAUGCUCUUAAGAGUCUGAAUCUGAGAAAGGACCCUCUGAAAACAGUGACUUGUGAAGCCAUUAGUGGAAAGGCUUCAAGUGGAAGGAGGUGGCUCUGCUGCCAUUGACAAAACUUAUACUCUGCAUCCUCACAGAGAAAAAUCCAUUCUUGAUCCCACCUGCCCUUCAGGUGGCCAGGACCGAAUUUUCAAUUCAAGGCUAAGACUGUCUAGAAUGUUCUUUCAUGCUUAGUCCAGCUGACAGUAUUGCUAUGGGGGUGCAUAUGAGGACAGCCAUGGGCCUUGCUCCCAGGCACCCCCUCCCCAAUCCCCAGGUGGUCUCUGGGGGAGGAAAUUUCUGGAACAUUCUAACUCUGCAGCAGGGUGUCCAUGAAGCAGGUACUGCAGUGAGGCGGGUGGCCUGACCUGGGGAAAACGUCAGUGACUCACCUGAGGGUGAGAAACUGCCCUUUGUGAUUUGAAAAAGUAAUGCUGACAAAGAGCUUUGUCACUUCUGAACUUUGUCCCCUCCUUAGGGAGCACUAAAUUCACAUAUAUUAGGAAGAAGCCAUAUUUGGGUUUACAUCCAGUGAAAACAAUUCAGGAACUACACAGGCGAUUCUGCAACAGGUCUUAGAGUGGCGAAAUCAAGAAUGAAAAGUUCUCUCUCCCUGUUUAGAAACAAUUGGGCAAAAAGGUCUAAGUCAGACAUUUCAUAUCACAGUCUUCUGCCUGAAGAGGGGGUUCAGUUUUCAUUUAUCUCUUGUGUUCUUUGAAGUGCAAGCCUCCGUCUGCUUAAUGCCCUAAACCAGAGAGACUAUGAUGGGAUUCCUUUUACAUUAAACAAAUCCAAGUCUGGAAAGGCAGUAAUAUUUCUAAACAAGUAAAACCCAGCCAUGACUUUGGCUUUUGCAAAGCUUGAGAUGGUUAUCCAGGACUGUUGCUAAUGGGGCAAAAAUUUAACCUGCAUCUAGUGAGGAGCUGACGGAGGUGACUGGAGACUCUCUGAUGGGUCAUCCAGCCAUAAACCCACCUCCUUUUUGAAUCCAUUCUAUAUGCAAGGUGGUCUGUCUCCUUCAGGGUCUGAGAAAAUUAAAAAAAAAAAAAA
RNAcentral lists this long non-coding RNA (6345 nucleotides) under Sus scrofa (pig). RNAcentral describes it as "lncRNA (ENSSSCG00025033136.1)". The record is from RNAcentral. Lineage: Eukaryota; Metazoa; Chordata; Mammalia; Artiodactyla; Suidae.